CACGUAGGGAGCAAGCGUUGUCCGGAUUUAUUGGGCGUAAAGAGCUCGUAGGUGGUUCGGUAAGUCAGGUGUGAAACCUCCAGGCUCAACCUGGAGACGCCACUUGAUACUGCUGUGACUGGAGUCCGGUAGGGGAGCGUGGAAUUCCUGGUGUAGCGGUGAAAUGCGUAGAUAUCGGGAGGAACACCUGUGGCGAAAGCGGCUCACUGGACCAUAACUGACGCUGAUGCACGAAAGCUAGGGGAGCAAACAGG
This 254-nucleotide ribosomal RNA is filed under the name uncultured bacterium. RNAcentral describes it as "partial 16S ribosomal RNA". It matches the Rfam family "Bacterial small subunit ribosomal RNA", at positions 524 to 776 of the family's 1533-position model. The record is from RNAcentral.